This 259-nucleotide long non-coding RNA is filed under the name Nicotiana benthamiana. Its description in RNAcentral is "long non-coding RNA (NBEN_LNC001391)". The record is from RNAcentral. Lineage: Eukaryota; Viridiplantae; Streptophyta; Magnoliopsida; Solanales; Solanaceae.
CAGCACUCCGCCCCAUACAACAUUGCAGGUCUAACCACAGCUCUAUAAAGUUUCCCCUUGAGGAACUUUCUUGUCACACAGGACUCCUGAUGCAAGCCUUCACUUUGACCACCUCGCUCCUAUACAAUGAGUGACGUCCCUGUCAAUCUCUCCAUCCCCGUGAAUCACCGACCCAAGAUAUCUGACACUGUGCCUUUUGGCGAUGACCUGAGAUCCAAUCAUUACGUCCCUGCCUACUUCGCUCGGCUCGGCGCUAAAC